CGCCUGUGAAGGGGUCAGGGGAAAUUUCCUGCUCAUUUAUGGGGCCUCAUUUGGGAUACGUCAGCAGGCCCCCAUGGCCUGGUGUUUGGUCUGAUCACCCCAACAUUUCUGGCACCCAACGUGGGGCUAUGAAGACCCCAGUGAAGGAACACUAGAGCAUGCGGAACUGGAGGACGCAUUGUCAGAGGACACCCGAGGAUGACUGAAAGAAGCUCGGUGGGAAAGCUGAGCACUCGGAAGAAACAGGGUAACAACAGGACAGAAUGAAACAAGCAGUACAACAAGGCAUUCCCCUUUCUAUAUCACUCAUAUGAGAGCACAUACUAACCUCCCUGGACCUUUAACUAAACUUAAUCAAAGGGUGGAUAAUUACAUGGGGAAGAGGAUUUGUUUGUGUUUAUCCAGGUGACAAUCAGGUGCCUGUGUGGGUGCCCACCAAACAUCUGAAGAUCUAUUAUGAGCUACAGCAGGAAGAGAGGACUCUGGGAAGAGCCAGAUAUAAGCAAUGUCACAAAUAAACAUCUCAGAGAUGAAGGAGAAAACCAAUCUCCCCAAAACAAUGCCCCCUGUCAGCAAGAAGUAGCUAUGAUCAGUCAUCGUUCAUAUUCCAACAGCAGUUAGAUGUGCCUCUUCUGAGGCAGGGAGUGAUAGGGACAGGAGGCAAGGAAAUUCUGGGCAGAAGAGGGCAGGUGCCCAGUGAAGGCCCGAACCUGAAGCCUGGAACCACAGCCCAAAGUGAGAACAUGCAUUCCUGUUUUCCCGCUCAAAUGUUGCCUUUUCCAAAACCACCCAUGGCCCGCCCCCACACCUCAUCCUAUGCCCAUAAAAAACCCAGGUUCCACUGGCAGACAGCAGAGAAGAGGAGAAGCAUCUGGACAUCAGAGAGUACAGUUGGAUGUUGGAGAGAAGCAGCUUGACUUCACAGAGACGGCUUGAUGGCAUUGCUCCAGGGGAAGAUCACCUUCCUGCUCCAUCCCCUUUCCAGCUCCCCUUCCCACUGAGUGCCACUUUCAUCAACAAUAAAAUCCCCUGCAUUCACCACCCUUCAAUUUGUGUUACCCGGACGCCAAACAAGAGCUGAGGUACCAUGGGAGCAGAUGCAAAAGGCUGUCACACUGACCCUCUGCCCUCACUGGUGGAAAGCAGCCACCUCAUGAGAAAAGGCAGAGGGCCCACUGAGCUGUUAACACUUAAGCCAUCUGUGGAUGGCAGCACUGAAAGAGCACUGACUAUAACAUUCCUUCUGGGGCUUUGGGCGUCAUGGGUACUUCUCCCAGAUGCUGCCGCAGGGCGCAUGCAGUUUUGCCCCUGCUGACACCCAAAAGCACUCACCCUGGCUCCUACAACUGCUCACCUGCGUGUUCCCUCCCACGAGGGUUGAACACAAGGGGUUCGGGUGAGUGGAGUUUUCCCCUGCUGGUGCCAAAGCUGUGGGUAGCUCCAGUGCCUGUACUUCAGUUCCUGCC
Molecule: long non-coding RNA, 1466 nt
Filed under: Homo sapiens (human)
Lineage: Eukaryota; Metazoa; Chordata; Mammalia; Primates; Hominidae
Description: non-protein coding lnc-TNFAIP2-5:2
Source: RNAcentral